CAGGUGUUGCAUGGCUGUCGUCAGCUCGUGUCGUGAGAUGUUCGGUUAAGUCCGCUAACGAGCGCAACCCUCGCUGUGUGUUAUAUGUGUCACACAGGACUGCUGGUAUUAAGCCGGAGGAAGGUGGGGACGACGUCAAGUCAGCAUGACCUUUAUAUCCAGGGCUACACACACGCUACAAUGGUCAGUACAAUGGGUUGCCAAGCCGCGAGGCGGAGCCAAUCCUAAAAAGCUGGCCUCAGUUCAGAUUGCAGUCCGAAACUCGACUGCAUGAAGUCGGAGUUGCUAGUAAACGCAGGCCAGCUAUACUGCGUUGAAUACGUUCCCGGGGCUU
RNAcentral lists this ribosomal RNA (334 nucleotides) under uncultured Anaerolineaceae bacterium. RNAcentral's name for it is "bacterial SSU rRNA". It matches the Rfam family "Bacterial small subunit ribosomal RNA", at positions 1035 to 1382 of the family's 1533-position model. Lineage: Bacteria; Bacillati; Chloroflexota; Anaerolineae; Anaerolineales; Anaerolineaceae. The record is from RNAcentral.